Molecule: long non-coding RNA, 428 nt
Filed under: Nicotiana benthamiana
Lineage: Eukaryota; Viridiplantae; Streptophyta; Magnoliopsida; Solanales; Solanaceae
Description: long non-coding RNA (NBEN_LNC027740)
Source: RNAcentral
AAUAUCGAAAACCGCAGGAAAGAAAGCCCCGGCCUGGUAUUUUAUUUUGACCGGCAGAAGCUGAACCCGAACCAAACCCUAAGCAAAGAAGGGAUGUGCCUUAGUUCAGUCUCGAGGACGGGAUAAUAGGGGCGUAGCACCGAAUAUGUCGGAGUAGUCCCACCCAGUAGAUGGACAAGCCAGUAGUACCAAUCAAGGAAGCCUUGAACUCUAGAGCUUUCUUUCCUGAUGGGGACAAAGAAAAGGAGACGAACAUAGCUAAACAGCUGCAGCAGAAAGAACGAAAAGCCAAAAGUCAAGGUGCAUAGCGGUCUUUUCAAGAAUAGGGGAGUACAGAAUAAGGGGUUUGCAAGACAAAAGAGAAUCCGCUGGAACUACGGACAAGGAUAUUUUACUCAAUUCCCCUCUUACUAUUUUAAAAAGCGGAA